UGGGGAAUAUUGCACAAUGGGCGCAAGCCUGAUGCAGCCAUGCCGCGUGUAUGAAGAAGGCCUUCGGGUUGUAAAGUACUUUCAGCGGGGAGGAAGGGAGUAAAGUUAAUACCUUUGCUCAUUGACGUUACCCGCAGAAGAAGCACCGGCUAACUCCGUGCCAGCAGCCGCGGUAAUACGGAGGGUGCAAGCGUUAAUCGGAAUUACUGGGCGUAAAGCGCUCGCAGGCGGUUUGUUAAGUCAGAUGUGAAAUCCCCGGGCUCAACCUGGGAACUGCAUCUGAUACUGGCAAGCUUGAGUCUCGUAGAGGGGGGUAGAAUUCCAGGUGUAGCGGUGAAAUGCGUAGAGAUCUGGAGGAAUACCGGUGGCGAAGGCGGCCCCCUGGACGAAGACUGACGCUCAGGUGCGAAAGCGUGGGGAGCAAACAGG
RNAcentral lists this ribosomal RNA (429 nucleotides) under Chloroflexota bacterium. RNAcentral's name for it is "Chloroflexi bacterium partial 16S ribosomal RNA". It matches the Rfam family "Bacterial small subunit ribosomal RNA", at positions 355 to 776 of the family's 1533-position model. RNAcentral also lists the same sequence under 1 other name. Lineage: Bacteria; Bacillati; Chloroflexota. The record is from RNAcentral.